This 497-nucleotide ribosomal RNA is filed under the name uncultured bacterium. RNAcentral's name for it is "partial 16S ribosomal RNA". It matches the Rfam family "Bacterial small subunit ribosomal RNA", at positions 28 to 507 of the family's 1533-position model. The record is from RNAcentral.
GAUGAGCGCUGGCGGCGUGCCUAAUACAUGCAAGUCGAGCGAACAGACGAGGAGCUUGCUCCUCUGACGUUAGCGGCGGACGGGUGAGUAACACGUGGAUAACCUGCCUAUAAGACUGGGAUAACUUCGGGAAACCGGAGCUAAUACCGGAUAAUAUAUUGAACCGCAUGGUUCAAUAGUGAAAGACGGUUUUGCUGUCACUUAUAGAUGGAUCCGCGCCGCAUUAGCUAGUUGGUAAGGUAACGGCUUACCAAGGCAACGAUGCGUAGCCGACCUGAGAGGGUGAUCGGCCACACUGGAACUGAGACACGGUCCAGACUCCUACGGGAGGCAGCAGUAGGGAAUCUUCCGCAAUGGGCGAAAGCCUGACGGAGCAACGCCGCGUGAGUGAUGAAGGUCUUCGGAUCGUAAAACUCUGUUAUUAGGGAAGAACAAAUGUGUAAGUAACUAUGCACGUCUUGACGGUACCUAAUCAGAAAGCCACGGCUAACUACGUG